UCUUCAAAAUCAGCUUCCUUUUCCUGUUUAUGAUUGUUGACUCCUUUAAUUUCGUCAUUGUUGGGCCAAAACUUAAACCCUGUUGUCAAAAUUUGACAUCCAAAAGGAAUAUAGAAUGCACAUAUUUGUAGUGAAAUGUAAUGUAUAUAUAUAGGUAGGAGGAUGAAAGAGAAAAGAGUAGUCCUUAUCAAACAUUUAUGUAGGUGAGUCAAACCUUACCAUCAGCAUUUAAUGCUUGAUAGUAAGAGCAUCUUUAUCAGCGGCUUAUUUUUUGUGGUUUUUAAGGAGUUUUUGUAAGUGUGAUUAGUAGGAGAGAGAAGGAAGAAAACAAAAAAUGAAGAAAAAGAAAAAAAAAAAGGAAAAAGAUAUUUAAUCUAAUACAUAAAUCAAGAAAAAAACCAAAAAGAAGCAAAAAGGCAGCAAUUGAAAUCCGUGCGCUUUUUGUGAACCACAUACUUCUCUCUUGCUGACCUCAUGCUCUCCUUUAUCAGAUUGUGGAGCCCACAAAGUUUUGCCUCUUGCAGGAGAAAUAUAUUUGAAAAAACUAUCACCCACACUAGUUUAGAAACCAACCAUGAAUUCUUAUUUCUGACAAAAACUCUCAUAGAUGCAUUGCUAUGGAUGCUCUAAGGUUGCUUGUUUUGUAGGAAUACCAAUAUUUUAUGUACUGGAAAUUGUGCCAAUUUUAAUCUACAGAUUUUCUUUAAUUUUUCCUACAAAGAUGAUAUUUUAGAUAAUCAAAAUGAUUCCACAUUCACAGUUUUGUAAAAUAAGGCUUCUCAAUAAUAUAUUGAAGAUGUAAGUAACCACUUAGUGUUUCUGAAAAUCCAGACUUCAAUUUGAGUAAGUAAAUGAAAAAAAUGGUAAAUGAAUUGUUUUUUUUUUUUUCAAUUUUAUGUUCCUUGUUCAUGUUUACCAUUUUAAGUGGCUGCAGUUGAUACAAAAGAAUUCACCUAAGCAAGAACUAAUUAAUUCACAAACAGUUGAGAACAAAUUAGUGGAAACUGCUUUAAAAAGUAAGUACCAAAUACCUUUUUUGCCUUUAUUUAUAAAUUUAGUGUGAAUAUACUCUAGCUAUAAACUAAGUUCAUUAAAAAAUAAUAGCUAAAAUGAUGCCUAAAAGUAAAUGAAAUCUGUUUGUACUUGUAGCUGAUAGUAGUGUAUUAAGUAGUAUUUGGUUUGAAAUUUUUUUUAAUUUCUUUUUAAGAUUAUCAAUCUAGGCUUUACGGUUGCAUAAUAUCACCAUCAUAACAUCAUAACAUAUAAGAACAGAACAUAGCUUGAAAAUUUUGAGAUGUAAAUAUGUAAGUGACACUCCAUGUUCUUGAACUUGAAUAUCAAAAUCAUGAAAAUGAUACCACAUUCACUAAUUUGUAAACUAAUUAUUUUAACAAUAAUACUAAAGAUGUAAGUAACCACCGAGUGUUUCUGAAAAUCCAGACUUCAUUUUGAGUAAGUACGCAAUCUGGGAAAAAUGUUUGGGAAUUGUUUUUUUUUUUAAGGGGCUGCACUUCAUACGAAAGAGUUCAACAAAGCAGGAACUAAUUGAGGAACAGUUUACAUCAAAGAAUUGGAAUCUGCUUUAAAAAUGACAACAUAGCUCCUCACACAUCUCAACCUCAUGACCUUGUUGGUUUGUUGGGGAUGAAGCUGAGCAGCCACAAUGAACUUUCAGCCAUGUUUUACAGCUUUGCUAUUUUACUUCUUAUCCCUUUGCUUCUAACAGAGUGUUUGGUUGGGAGGAGAGAAUUAGGGGGGAAAAGAAUUGUAAUAAUUGUAAUUUGGUGGAAUUGCAAUUCAAUGAAUAAAGUAGGAAUUAAAAUUA
Ipomoea triloba (trilobed morning glory) is the source of this 1825-nucleotide long non-coding RNA. RefSeq lists it as uncharacterized. The record is from RefSeq and is a predicted model, not a curated record. The transcript is spliced from 2 exons. NCBI's taxonomy places the organism in Eukaryota, Viridiplantae, Streptophyta, Magnoliopsida, Solanales, Convolvulaceae.